AAACCAUGGCCUCUAGUUGGAAAUUAGUUAAUGUUACACAGGCACUCCUCCUCAACCACUAUGGCAAUGGUGCCUAUCUCAUUUAGAUCUGAGCUUUGCCCAAUUUUUUUAUGAAUAUUUGGGAAGCUAAGUCCACAGAUCAAGAAAUCACUAAAAAUUUGAGUAAGUUUGCUUCUGACAAAUUUUUUAAUUUCAAGCUCACAAAUUAU
RNAcentral lists this long non-coding RNA (209 nucleotides) under Carica papaya (papaya). Its description in RNAcentral is "long non-coding RNA (CPAP_LNC004538)". Lineage: Eukaryota; Viridiplantae; Streptophyta; Magnoliopsida; Brassicales; Caricaceae. The record is from RNAcentral.